AUUGAACGCUGGCGGCAUGCCUUACACAUGCAAGUCGAGCGGCAGCGCGGGGGCAACCUGGCGGCGAGCGGCGAACGGGUGAGUAAUACAUCGGAACGUGCCCAGACGUGGGGGAUAACUACUCGAAAGAGUGGCUAAUACCGCAUACGAUCUACGGAUGAAAGCGGGGGGAUCGCAAGACCUCGCGCGUCUGGAGCGGCUGAUGGCAGAUUAGGUAGUUGGUGGGAUAAAAGCCUACCAAGCCAACGAUCUGUAGCUGGUCUGAGAGGAUGAUCAGCCACACUGGGACUGAGACACGGCCCAGACUCCUACGGGAGGCAGCAGUGGGGAAUUUUGGACAAUGGGCGAAAGCCUGAUCCAGCCAUUCCGCGUGCAGGAUGAAGGCCCUCGGGUUGUAAACUGCUUUUGUACAGAACGAAAAAGCUCUGGUUAAUACCUGGAGUCCAUGACGGUACUGUAAGAAUAAGCACCGGCUAACUACGU
Molecule: ribosomal RNA, 483 nt
Filed under: uncultured bacterium
Lineage: Bacteria
Description: bacterial SSU rRNA
Rfam family: Bacterial small subunit ribosomal RNA
Source: RNAcentral